UAAGGAAUAUUGGUCAAUGGACGCAAGUCUGAACCAGCCAUGCCGCGUGGAGGAUUAAGGCCCUCUGGGUUGUAAACUCCUUUUAUCUGGGAAGAAAUGUACUUUUUCUUGAGUACUUGACGGUACCAGAGGAAUAAGCAUCGGCUAACUUCGUGCCAGCAGCCGCGGUAAGACGAAGGAUGCAAGCGUUAUCCGGAUUCAUUGGGUUUAAAGGGUGCGUAGGCGGGCUUGUAAGUCAGUGGUGAAAUCUCUCAGCUUAACUGAGAAACUGCCAUUGAUACUGCAGGCCUAGAGUAUAGAUGACGUUGGCGGAAUAUGACAUGUAGUGGUGAAAUACUUAGAUAUGUCAUAGAACACCGAUUGCGAAGGCAGCUAACGAAACUAUAACUGACGCUGAGGCACGAAAGUGCGGGGAUCAAACA
Molecule: ribosomal RNA, 422 nt
Filed under: uncultured bacterium
Lineage: Bacteria
Description: bacterial SSU rRNA
Rfam family: Bacterial small subunit ribosomal RNA
Source: RNAcentral